This is a long non-coding RNA of Sinocyclocheilus anshuiensis, 362 nucleotides long. RefSeq lists it as uncharacterized. The record is from RefSeq and is a predicted model, not a curated record. The transcript is spliced from 3 exons. NCBI's taxonomy places the organism in Eukaryota, Metazoa, Chordata, Actinopteri, Cypriniformes, Cyprinidae.
ACAUGUGUUUCCUAUUUCUUUCAUUUCAGAAUGAUGCACAGAAAACACUUCUACCAAGAAUUGUUGGCACGGAUAGGACACCAGAAACAGGAUGCCACUUCAUUCUUUGGGAUUUUGACAAGACCGAAAAACAAAUAAGGAUUUAUGACAACACAAGACGUCACAUGAACAUUUCACCCUCAGAUAUGGACAUUCUGAAAGAUGCCUUUAGAAAUGUAGACUCCCUGGAUGGGUGGACUGUGUGCAGUCCACAGCAAUGGCGGAGAAAUGAUGGAAACAACUGUGGUGUUUUUGUUUGCACAGUGAAUGGAUAGAGUUUUAUAAGUUUGUUUGCAACUUUGUACAUACAUUAAUAUUUAUGU